GACGAACGCUGGCGGCGUGCUUAACACAUGCAAGUCGAACGGAAAGGCCCUGCUUUUGUGGGGUGCUCGAGUGGCGAACGGGUGAGUAACACGUGAGUAACCUGCCCCUGACAUUGGGAUAACUUCAGGAAACUGGGGCUAAUACCGGAUAGGAGCUCCUGCUGCAUGGUGGGGGUUGGAAAGUUUCGGCGGUUGGGGAUGGACUCGCGGCUUAUCAGCUUGUUGGUGGGGUAGUGGCUUACCAAGGCUUUGACGGGUAGCCGGCCUGAGAGGGUGACCGGCCACAUUGGGACUGAGAUACGGCCCAGACUCCUACGGGAGGCAGCAGUGGGGAAUAUUGCACAAUGGGCGGAAGCCUGAUGCAGCAACGCCGCGUGCGGGAUGACGUCCUUCGGGUUGUAAACCGCUUUCGCCUGUGACGAAGCGUGAGUGACGGUAAUGGGUAAAGAAGCACCGGCUAACUACGUG
RNAcentral lists this ribosomal RNA (468 nucleotides) under uncultured bacterium. Its description in RNAcentral is "partial 16S ribosomal RNA". It matches the Rfam family "Bacterial small subunit ribosomal RNA", at positions 28 to 507 of the family's 1533-position model. The record is from RNAcentral.